RNAcentral lists this ribosomal RNA (253 nucleotides) under uncultured bacterium. RNAcentral's name for it is "partial 16S ribosomal RNA". It matches the Rfam family "Bacterial small subunit ribosomal RNA", at positions 524 to 776 of the family's 1533-position model. The record is from RNAcentral.
UACGUAGGGUGCAAGCGUUAAUCGGAAUUACUGGGCGUAAAGCGUGCGUAGUCGGUUAUCUAAGUCGGGUGUGAAAUCCCCGGGCUCAACCUGGGAAUUGCAUUCGAUACUGGAUAGCUAGAGUUCGGCAGAGGGAAGCGGAAUUUCGGGUGUAGCGGUGAAAUGCGUAGAUAUCCGAAGGAACAUCAGUGGCGAAAGCGGCUUCCUGGACCAGAACUGACGAUCAGGCACGAAAGCGUGGGGAGCAAACAGG